ACCACCGGGAUCCCCAAAAACACCGGGAACCCCAAAAUGGGAAACCCCCAAAAAUGGGGACCCCAAAAACACCGGGAACCCCCAAAAACACCGGGAACCCCAAAAAUGGGAAAAUCCCAAAAACACCGGGAACCCCAAAAAUGGGAAACACAAAAAUGGGAACCCCAAAUACACCGGGAACCCCAAAAUGGGAAACUCACUAAAUGGGAACCCCAAAAAUGGGAACACCAAAAACACCGGGAACCCCAAAAACACUGGGAAUCCAAAAAAAUGGGAACCCCAAAAUCACAGGGAACCCCAAAAAUGGGAACCCCAAAAUGGGAACCACAAAAACACCGGGAACCCCAAAAACGGGAAUCCCCCAAAAAUGGGGACCCCAAAAACACCGGGGACCUCAAAAAUGGAAACACCAAAAACCACAGGGAACCCCAAAAACACCGGAAACCCCAAAAAUGUGAAACACAAAAACACCGAGAACCCCAAAAAUGGGAAACCCCCAAAAAUGGGAACCCCAAAAUGGGGACCCCAAAUACACCGGGAACCCCAAAAAUGGGAAAACCCCAAAAAUGGGAAAACCCCAAAAAUGGGAACCCCAAAAUGGGAACCACGAAAACACCGGGAGCCCCAAAAAUGGGACACUCAUAAAAUGGGAACCCCAAAAAUGGGAACCCCAAAAUGGGAAACUCACUAAAUGGGAACCCCAAAAACACCGGGAACCCCAAAAACUCCGGGAACCCCAAAAACACCGGGAACCCCAAAAUGGGAACCCCAAAAACACCGGGGAGCCCAAAAAUGGGAAAACCCCAAAAAUGGGAACCCCAAAAUGGGGACCCCAAAAUGGGAACCCCAAAAAUGGGAAAACCCCAAAAACACUGGGAACCCCAAAAAUGGGAAAACCCCAAAAAUGGGAACCCCAAAAUGGGAACCACAAAAACACCGGGAGCCCCAAAAAUGGGAAACUCAUAAAAUGGGAACCCCAAAAAUGGGAACCCCAAAUACACCGGGAACCCCAAAAAUGGGAAAACCCCAAAACCACCGGGAACCCCAAAAUGGAAAACCCAACCCCAAAUUGUGGGAACCCGAAAAGCACAGGGAACCCCAAAAAACGGCAAAACCCCAAAAACCGGCAAAACCCCAAAAAUGGAAACAAAAAAAAUCCCAGGAACCCCAAAAACUGGAAACCCAAAUUGUGGGAACCCCAAAAAUCUGGAACCCCAAAAAUGAGAACUCCAAAUUGUUGGGGUCAGGAUUUGGGGUCUGGGGGCUUUGGGAUACCCAGGGUCGGAUUUGGGGUGUUGGAGUUUUGGGUCUG
Molecule: long non-coding RNA, 1312 nt
Filed under: Zonotrichia albicollis (white-throated sparrow)
Lineage: Eukaryota; Metazoa; Chordata; Aves; Passeriformes; Passerellidae
Description: lncRNA (ENSZALG00000002110.1)
Source: RNAcentral